AAUGAAGUGCCUGAGUAAAGGGGAUUAUCUUGAUAGGAUAAAUUAAGUAAAUCAAUUUACCUUCAUUA
RNAcentral lists this transfer RNA (68 nucleotides) under Aiolopus thalassinus tamulus. RNAcentral's name for it is "tRNA-Ile". Lineage: Eukaryota; Metazoa; Arthropoda; Insecta; Orthoptera; Acrididae. The record is from RNAcentral.